UACGGAGACCCCUAGCGUUGUUCGGAAUCACUGGGCUUAAAGCGCGUGUAGGCGGGACGGUAAGUGCUUUGUGAAAUCCCCGGUCUCAACCCGGGAAUUGCUCGGCAUACUGCCGUUCUUGAGGCAGGUAGGGGUCGCUGGAACCUUAGGUGGAGCGGUGAAAUGCGUAGAUAUCUAAGGGAACGCCUGUGGCGAAAGCGGGUGACUGGGCCUGUCCUGACGCUGAGACGCGAAAGCGUAGGGAGCAAACGGG
RNAcentral lists this ribosomal RNA (253 nucleotides) under uncultured bacterium. RNAcentral describes it as "partial 16S ribosomal RNA". It matches the Rfam family "Bacterial small subunit ribosomal RNA", at positions 524 to 776 of the family's 1533-position model. The record is from RNAcentral.